UGGGGAAUUUUCCGCAAUGGGCGAAAGCCUGACGGAGUGACGCCGCGUGUGGGACGAAGGCCUUCGGGUCGUAAACCACUGUCAGUGGGAAAGAUGGGUGUCGAUGCUAAUACCAUCGGCAUCUGACGGUACCUGCAGAGGAAGCCCCGGCCAACUCUGUGCCAGCAGCCGCGGUAAGACAGAGGGGGCAAGCGUUGCUCGGAAUUACUGGGCGUAAAGGGCGCGUAGGCGGGAUGGCAAGUCGGUCGUGAAAUCCCUCGGCUCAACCGAGGAACGUCGAUCGAUACUGCUGUUCUUGAGGAUUGCAGAGGAGACUGGAAUUCCCGGUGUAGCGGUGAAAUGUGUAGAGAUCGGGAGGAACACCGGUGGCGAAGGCGGGUCUCUGGGCAAUUCCUGACGCUGAGGCGCGAAAGCGUGGGGAGCAAACGGG
This 430-nucleotide ribosomal RNA is filed under the name uncultured bacterium. RNAcentral describes it as "bacterial SSU rRNA". It matches the Rfam family "Bacterial small subunit ribosomal RNA", at positions 355 to 776 of the family's 1533-position model. The record is from RNAcentral.